GACGAACGCUGGCGGUGUGCUUAACACAUGCAAGUCGAACGGUAAGGCCCUUUCGGGGGUACACGAGUGGCGAACGGGUGAGUAACACGUGAGUAACCUGCCCUCAUCUCUGGGAUAACAGUCGGAAACGGUUGCUAAUACUGGAUAUGAGCUUGCAAGGCAUCUUGUGGGUUGGAAAGAUUUUUUUGGUUGGGGAUGGACUCGCGGCCUAUCAGCUUGUUGGUGAGGUAGUGGCUCACCAAGGCUUCGACGGGUAGCCGGCCUGAGAGGGCGACCGGCCACAUUGGGACUGAGAUACGGCCCAAACUCCUACGGGAGGCAGCAGUGGGGAAUAUUGCACAAUGGACGGAAGUCUGAUGCAGCAACGCCGCGUGCGGGAUGACGGCCUUCGGGUUGUAAACCGCUUUCAAUUGUGACGAAGCUUUUUGUGACGGUAGCAGUAGAGGAAGCACCGGCUAACUACGUG
RNAcentral lists this ribosomal RNA (466 nucleotides) under uncultured bacterium. RNAcentral describes it as "partial 16S ribosomal RNA". It matches the Rfam family "Bacterial small subunit ribosomal RNA", at positions 28 to 507 of the family's 1533-position model. The record is from RNAcentral.